UUCCAAUCGUUUACCCAAAAA
Molecule: non-coding RNA, 21 nt
Filed under: Caenorhabditis elegans
Lineage: Eukaryota; Metazoa; Nematoda; Chromadorea; Rhabditida; Rhabditidae
Source: RNAcentral